AACGAACGCUGGCGGCACGUUUUAAGCAUGCAAGUCGAAUGGCAGUGGGGGCAACCCCAUGAGAAUGGCGAACGGGUGAGUAACACGUAGGUGAUCUGCCUGACGGUUGGGGAUAGCCUGUGGAAACACAGGGUAAUACCGAAUGAGCUGACGACACUUUGGUGAUGUUAGUAAAGGUGCUACGGCACCGCCGACAGAGGAGCCUGCGGCUGAUUAGCUAGUUGGUGGGGUAAAGGCCUACCAAGGCGACGAUCAGUAGCCGGCCUGAGAGGGUGUACGGCCACACUGGAACUGAGACACGGUCCAGACUCCUACGGGAGGCAGCAGCUAAGAAUCUUCCGCAAUGGGCGAAAGCCUGACGGAGCGAUGCCGCGUGAUCGAUGAAGGUCGAGAGAUUGUAAAGAUCUUUUCCACAUGAGGAAUAAGUCUGGGAGGGAAUGCCUGGAUGAUGACGUUAGUGUGGGAAUAAGCCCCGGCUAAUUACGUGCCAGCCGCCGCAGUAA
This 503-nucleotide ribosomal RNA is filed under the name uncultured bacterium. RNAcentral's name for it is "partial 16S ribosomal RNA". It matches the Rfam family "Bacterial small subunit ribosomal RNA", at positions 29 to 523 of the family's 1533-position model. The record is from RNAcentral.